AAGGGAUUGCACAAUGAAUGUGAUUGCUCAAAACAUACAGAAUUUGAUUACAGUCAAUCCAAGUUAAGAUAGUCUAAUGAAUAUUGUUCCUUUUCACAUGUAAUUUACAUAUCUAUCUGAAAUAUCAUGUCUUGUAUCUAGGUAAUAAGGUUUUGAUUUUGUACAUGCAGGUCUUUCUGGAAAUAUUGCAUGUAAUGUCUAUAUAGCCAUAUGUGACUCAUUACACCCCAUCUAGUGACGAAUUUGAACUUGACCGCUACUUACUACCUCUAGCUAGGCAUAUUGGUCACCAUGUCUUUAGUGCCUGGUCCAUCCAUCUUCAUCGUCAUGCAUGGCAGCCAAAGGAGAAAAUAAAUCCAAACAGGCAUCAGGACUAACAAUGCAAAUGCAAAGGAAGAUGACAUUUUCCUCAGUGGAGUGCAAUUGGGUUCUGGUGUUGUCAUACGUAGGUUAGGUACUAGCUACACACAAAUUCUCAUGUUCCACACUUGUUCAGAAGUUAGUUAAUUAGGUGGGUUAUCAUAGUGUAUAGAGUUGAUGAAGAAAUCCCUUCAUAUCUUGUUUAUUUUUCUAUUGGUUUGUAUUUCAUUUCCAAAUCUGAUGAAAAAUAAACCUUUUGUGCUAGUAAAAAAUGCAGUUUGACUUAUAGAAGUAUGGUAAUGAAUUAACUCUAGAUGAAAAAUACAUUAAUCCAUUGACCCCUUUGAAGCCUCUAUUGCAUGACCAAUCAUGACCUCAGAUAAUUAAAAAAAUGACACAUCGAGACUAUCUAUUUAUAAUAUCAGGGCAACAAAUGAAUGUUAUAUCCAACUUAGGGCUAGAAACUUGUGAUAUCUGCUUCGUGCCUUAAAUAGGUGAAGAAACCAUGCAUGCAUUUGUUGAACUAAGUGCUUGGUAUUGCUUCUCAUGCCUAAUCUGCAUGGAUGAACAUGAAACAUCAUUCAUGUGAACAUGAAACAUCAUUUGUGUGCAUCUGAUCUACAGAAACUCAUCCUAUGAACAUUGAGGUUGAUAGCUAUAUAAAACAGUUUAUAGUUGAGACAACAUUGAGGCUGAUAGCUAUAUAAAAGAUUUUAUAGUUGAGACCAAAUAUGGGGAUAACAUUGUUAAGAUAGAAAAUUGAGAUGUUUGAGGAAACUAAGAAGAAUGUAGCAAAUUACAAGGCAAGCUUUGCAUUGUAUUGGUCUGCACAUAUUUUUCAUAGAUUCUUUCGCCAUUUACUAUCGAAGAAUCUGACCCUUCUAAAGUGAGUUUUGUUGCUAAGAUGGAAAUGAAAAAUUUUGACAAUCAUUGUUGAGCAAGUUCAUGAUGAUAGAACUAUUCAUGUUUGUUUGUGUUCUAUUUGAGUCAUAGUUUUAGUUUUGUUUAAUUUAAAGUGGUUGAUGUAACAUGCCCAUUAUAUGUUGUCUUAUCAUUGAACUUGAAUUUGAUUACAAACAAGGUGUCACGAAA
This 1452-nucleotide long non-coding RNA is filed under the name Sorghum bicolor (sorghum). RNAcentral's name for it is "long non-coding RNA (SBIC_LNC009570)". Lineage: Eukaryota; Viridiplantae; Streptophyta; Magnoliopsida; Poales; Poaceae. The record is from RNAcentral.